RNAcentral lists this ribosomal RNA (442 nucleotides) under uncultured bacterium. RNAcentral's name for it is "partial 16S ribosomal RNA". It matches the Rfam family "Bacterial small subunit ribosomal RNA", at positions 338 to 795 of the family's 1533-position model. The record is from RNAcentral.
CCUACGUGUGGCAGCAGUGGGGAAUAUUGGGCAAUGGAGGAAACUCUGACCCAGCAAUGCCGCGUGAAUGAAGAAGGUCUUCGGAUUGUAAAGUUCUUUAGUCAGGGAAGAAGUCAAUGACGGUACCUGAAGAAUAAGCUCCGGCUAACUACGUGCCAGCAGCCGCGGUAAUACGGAGGAUGCGAGCGUUAUCCGGAUUUAUUGGGUUUAAAGGGUGCGCAGGCGGAAGAUCAAGUCAGCGGUAAAAUUGAGAGGCUCAACCUCUUCGAGCCGUUGAAACUGGUUUUCUUGAGUGAGCGAGAAGUAUGCGGAAUGCGUGGUGUAGCGGUGAAAUGCAUAGAGAUCACGCAGAACUCCGAUUGCGAAGGCAGCAUACCGGCGCUCAACUGACGCUCAUGCACGAAAGUGUGGGUAUCGAACAGGAUUAGAUACUCGUGUAGUC